GUGAGGAAUAUUGGUCAAUGGGCGGGAGCCUGAACCAGCCAAGUCGCGUGAAGGAAGAAGGAUCUAUGGUUCGUAAACUUCUUUUGCAGGGGAAUAAAGUGCAGGACGUGUCCUGUUUUGUAUGUACCCUGAGAAUAAGGAUCGGCUAACUCCGUGCCAGCAGCCGCGGUAAUACGGAGGAUCCGAGCGUUAUCCGGAUUUAUUGGGUUGAAAGGGUGCGUAGGUGGUUUGAUAAGUCAGCGGUGAAAGUUUGCAGCUUAACUGUAAAAAUGCCGUUGAAACUGUCGGACUUGAGUGUAAAUGAGGUAGGCGGAAUGCGUGGUGUAGCGGUGAAAUGCAUAGAUAUCACGCAGAACUCCGAUUGCGAAGGCAGCUUACUAAGCUACAACUGACACUGAAGCACGAAAGCGUGGGGAUCAAACAGGAUUAGAUACCCCUGUAGUCC
Molecule: ribosomal RNA, 445 nt
Filed under: uncultured bacterium
Lineage: Bacteria
Description: partial 16S ribosomal RNA
Rfam family: Bacterial small subunit ribosomal RNA
Source: RNAcentral